Molecule: ribosomal RNA, 496 nt
Filed under: uncultured bacterium
Lineage: Bacteria
Description: partial 16S ribosomal RNA
Rfam family: Bacterial small subunit ribosomal RNA
Source: RNAcentral
AUGAACGCUGGCGGCGUGCCUAAUACAUGCCAGUCGAGCGAACAGACGAGGAGCUUGCUCCUCUGACGUUAGCGGCGGACGGGUGAGUAACACGUGGAUAACCUACCUAUAAGACUGGGAUAACUUCGGGAAACCGGAGCUAAUACCGGAUAAUAUAUUGAACCGCAUGGUUCAAUAGUGAAAGACGGUUUUGCUGUCACUUAUAGAUGGAUCCGCGCCGCAUUAGCUAGUUGGUAAGGUAACGGCUUACCAAGGCAACGAUGCGUAGCCGACCUGAGAGGGUGAUCGGCCACACUGGAACUGAGACACGGUCCAGACUCCUACGGGAGGCAGCAGUAGGGAAUCUUCCGAAAUGGGCGAAAGCUUGACGGAGCAACGCAGCGUGAGUGAUGAAGGUCUUCGGAUCGUAAAACUCUGUUAUUAGGGAAGAACAAAUGUGUAAGUAACUAUGCACGUCUUGACGGUACCUAAUCAGAAAGCCACGGCUAACUACGUG